This 27631-nucleotide long non-coding RNA is filed under the name Populus trichocarpa (black cottonwood). Its description in RNAcentral is "long non-coding RNA (PTRI_LNC000381)". The record is from RNAcentral. Lineage: Eukaryota; Viridiplantae; Streptophyta; Magnoliopsida; Malpighiales; Salicaceae.
UAAAUCAACAGCACAUUUUCAUCACUCCAUUCAACAUAAUGUUUCAUAUAUCUGUUUUUACAUAAAGUAUUGCAAGUCUUACAGAAAUUUUCUGAACUAUAUAGUUAUAGCUCAUUUAUUUCUAACACUUUCAAAGCACCUCUUACAUAACAAAUUUUACAUAUUCAUAGGACAGAAUUCGGCCAAAUUUUAGGCUUGACCAUCUUGUAUUCUCAAUGUAUCAAGAUAAGAUUUUCCAACAAGCUCACGAGAAAACAGGCCCUUGAAGUACUCUUUAACUGGAACUUCUUUAAACAAUGCUGGUGUUUGUUCGGUUACCAAGCUAGGAGCUGGGCAUACUUUGCCAUCAAACCUCGGGGAAUGGAAUGAAGCAACUGAAAGUCUUUCCUUCUUAGAGUUUACUGUUGCACGAUGCUCGAUGCUACGAUAUGCACCAUUGGUUACAAUCUGCCACAUAAAUGUACAAAAGUUGAAUUAAAUGGCCCAUUCAUCUUUCUUUCAUUGUCAAGCGAAGUUAAUGUUUAAAAUUUGAAGGUUCCUAAUGUCAACGCCAGUUAAUUACCACCUGUAAGUUAAGCUACAUCAACUUCUCCUAAUGACAAGAGCAAUGGACCACUGACUGAAUGUUUAUUACUUGGAUUGCAGUUAAGUUCUUUUCUUAAAUUGUAAAACAUCUGUUACCUCCAAAAUGUCUCCAACAUUGACAACAAAAGCAUUUGGCAGUGGCUUUAUGGGAACCCACUUCCCAUCCUUCCUUAACUGCAGACCUUCCACUUCAUUAACUUGUAGGAGAAUUGUGAGACCGGUGGCAUCAGAAUGAGGUGUAAGGCCAAUAACUUGCUCUGGUUGAGGACACUGCGGAUAAUAGUUCAUCCUCAUUGAUUGUCUUAUGCCCUCUGUGAAAUCUCUCAUUUCUUCAGCUUUAAUGUUUAAAGCUUUUCCCAUCUGUUCAAGAAUAGCAGACGCUAGAUUUUUCACUUCCAAGGAGUAGCUCUCCAAGGUGUCUCUGCAUAGAACGAAGGUUACCUCAGAAACAUGCUGAAUUAACUGAAAUGUACUGCAACCACUUACAAAAAUUACAAGCAUAAACUAUGAACAAGAGAUGUGACCUGAAAGGAAGAGGGAGUUUUGGGAAUAGGUGAGGCUUUCUUAAAUUAGCUGGCUGGGUGACCAUGAAGAACAGAUCGCCCCAAUCAAGCUUUUGCUCCUCAGAUACAACAAAAGCUUGUCCAAAACCCUCUAUUUCUCCUGGAUACUGCCAGAACCUUUUCUUUUCCUCCAUUGGGAGGUUGAAGAAAUCCUGAAGUUGUGUCUUCAUUUUGUCUAACAACGAAGAGCUUACACAAUGGUUUACCAACUGAAAAAACAAAAUGCAAUUGUAUAGCAGUUUAUGUUAGUUAGAAAACCUUUGUUGAACUACGUAACUGGAUAGCUCUAAUUUUUCUAGCAUUCAUGCCACUUUUGAGAAAAACUAUAUCAGAGACAAAAACUAAUUAAAAGCAUAAAUCACAUCCGAUUAAAUGCAUCAUCAUCACAAACUUAGUGUCAUUUAUCAAUAUAUCUCUCAUAUAUCAGUUAAACUCCAUCCUAUUUUGUCAGCUCUGAUAAGACAGAUCUCUUCAUGACGAUCAACAACUAACUGAUCAAACUAAGUAGAAAAAAAUGGAAAGGUUAAAAAUUAUGCUGGAUAGAAAACAUUAGUCAAACCAGGUAGCCUUGACAAUCCAAAGGUUCAUGGUUAAGCAAAAAUAAGGAAAAUCUUGGAAUUUAGCCUUCUUUACGAAUUAUAGGGGAACAAUCUGCUAAGGUAGUCAUCUCGCAAAAUGCCAAAUAAAGAAAACUAAACAAUAUAUGAUCUAUGUUGUUCACAUACACAUGAACAUGUCACAGCCUGCAUACCAAGCCAAAAUCACAAAGUGUUUUCUGUUUAAGUACUAAUUAUGUCAGUAUUUCUAAGAGCCAUUAACUAUACCGCUUGAGUUUCUUAAUAAUCUCCCUGCGGACUCAAAAUUUUAGCAAUUCAUACAAAUUUCUAAAACUUCAUUACAUUCAACACAAUAAAACUUGCUUGUUAUUCUUCUUCUUUAUCAUAUCCUUUCGGGUAUAGUGGGAUGAAGGUCCUAAAAAUAUAAGGCCGCAGCCCAUAAUGAUAAGAGGGUGACCUCAUGGGGUACCCAAUUAGGAUCCCGAUUAAGUUCAAUUCUAGGCUUAGCCGAAUUGUUCUUUUUCCAUUGCUCUUUUUCAGUGAACCCGCCCCCUGUUUCUGAUUAUCUUGCCAUGUCAUGUCUCUCUGGCUAUAACCACAAAACAGAGAGUGAAAUUGUUCAUAAAGAAUUCACAACGGAAUAUGUAAGUUGAUAAGAAUCCCGGUUUCAAUUAUAGCUUCACGUGUCCAAAUAUUCUUCCUGUUCUUGCUUCUUUCUCUAAUAACUCGAAAGAAAGUUUGUCCAUUCAUAAAAACUACAACAAUUUUCACGACUUGGGUUAAAUUUCGAUAAAGAAAAAAAACCCAAGAAAUGAAAGUGGGUAUACAAGAUGUACCUGGAAGAAACCCCAUGUUUUGCAAGCGAAAUGGAGGCGGCCCAAUUCAGAAUCCAUCGUUUCUUGAUCAAGUAAUCUCUGCAUAUCAAUAACUGGAACCUCAGAUACCGGAUCAUGACUAGCAAUGAUGGGAUGUUCUUGGUCAUAACGGAUGUAUCUUGGUGGAACAGCGACCAAAAGAUCCUUGGCCAAUUCUUGAACACAGGGCACAAGCAGGGAGCUUCCAAGACUUGAUGGUUUGGAUGCCAUGUUUUUGCGCAAUAACUUAGUUAGCUUUUUUACUGAACACCCCUUGUUUUUGCUUUAAAACAUCUCAAGUCAAGGGUUAAAAAGCCCCAAUCCCAAGUCUUCAUGGCUUGCAAUUUUGUCAACUUCAGUUGAACUUGGAUCCUUGCUUUGUCCGUGAGGACCAUCAACCCCAAACUGCCUCCUCCAAUUCUACAAAUUUUGGGUCCUUGUUUUCUUCUUUAUCUCUUUGGAGUCAGAUUUGGAGGCUUGACUUUGUUUAUAUCCGAUGAGAUUGUGCUGGACUAACCUAACUGCUUGUUUCUAGAAUCUGAGCCCACUUUCCACCAUAGUUAUCAGACCAGAUCCGGUAGUUAACCCGGUAAUGAUCGGGUCACGGAUCUUGUGAAUCAACCCGGAUUAAAAACAAAAACACAUAUUAAUAUAGUUCUUUUGACAUAAAAUAUCACAGUAAUAUAUAUGUUAGUAUAAUUAACAAGAAAAUAUAACAUUAACAUAUGUACUAGCAUAAUUAAUUAGCAUCAAUGGAUUAGAAGGUGCAUUUAUCUUCAAAUAAACAAACAUUUAACAUAAUUUAAAGAUAAGGAUAAUAAAAUAACAAGUUGUUCUAGAGAUAUAUAAUUUAACAUAAUAGAUAUAAGGUGACAACAUUCAAACUCUAGUUUGCAUUAGAAUCCAUAAAUCAACAUUUUAACUCCAUUUUGCAUUAGAAUCCAUAAAUUAACAUCUUCAGCUGCAUAAAGAAAAAAAAAGAUUUUAGAAUAUGUUGAACACUUAACACUAAUAUAAUUUUUUUAAAAAAAAAUGGUAAAGUACAAAACCUCAUUGGAAUAACCACAUUUUUUCUACACAACAUUUUUACUUUGGUUGAAUAUAGGCAUUGAGUUCUUCAGUGUCCAUAGGAGCAAAAUUUGAAUCAAAUACCAAUGGAAUUGAGCCAACCUCAUUAAUGCCUAUUGAAACAUCAUCAUGCUCUUGUGUAUCUUCAUCAUCACAGUCAUCUUCAAUCUCAUUAAUAUUUAUCAAAUCUACAACUGAAACAUACUUAAUCAAUAAACAUUAUAGUCAUGACACAAAGUGAAAGAUCAAAUCUUUCAUUACCUUCAUUUAAAGUAUCUUGAAUAGUCAUGGUUGAUAAAUCACGAUGAAAGAUCUCUACUUCUUCAGUUGUUAAAGAUGAUGGAUCAUCUUUUACUAUCCAAUUUUCAGUGUCAGAAAAUGCCUCAAAAUUAAUUGGAUCAUAAUUCCGUCCUUUCGAAUAAUUUCUACAAAAUCAAAGUUAAGGUACACAAUAUAAGUAUCAAUGAUGCUAUGUAAUAAUAUAAAGAACUUUUGAAGAAUUAGAGAAAAGAAAAUACUUUUGUUUUAAUUUCAGAUUAUAGUGGACAUAAACUAGGUCAUUAAGUCUGUGAUGCUCCAAUCGAUUUCUCUUCUUAGAGUGGAUGUGCUCAAAAAUACUCCAAUUCCUCUCGCAUCCUGAAGAACUACAAGUUUGACUUAAAACUCGUAUAGCUAGCUUUUGGAGAUUUGGAGCACAAGUUCCAUACAACACCCACCAUUCAUCUAUAUACAAAAUUAAUAAGUUAGAUUAUAUCAAGAUAAUAUUUUUAAAUUACUUUGAAUAUGAAAAUAAUAAUAUACCUGGAGGUAAAAGGGUGCGAUCAUUUUUCGCAGACACUCUACCAAAGUCAUGUUCUGCAUUCCUAAACAACUUCAUUUCACUUGUAAGCUUGCUUAGCAGAAUUGCAUUUCCAUUUGCAUACUUCUCAACAACAUCUAGAAGUCCGGAAAUGAUGUUUAUAUAUCUAUCCAUUAGAUUGACAUCAUACUGAAAUCGAGGAUUCAACCAAAAUUCCGCUGCAUAAAGCUUCCUAUACAAUUGUCCAUCCCAUCUAUUAUUAAUGAUGUCUAUGAAAGGUUGCACCUUAGUUCUUUUCUUUGAAAUCUCCUCAACAUUUCUUCCUUUGCAGAAUGGAUAGCCUCAUAUAAAUAUCUCAUAGUAGGUCUAUCAUCACUAUCAACAAUUCGUAGAACUCGAACCAAUGGUUCGGUCAUUCGUAUAAUUGAUGCACAUUCUUCCCAAAACGUAGAGUUCAAUACACUAUCAACAAACCUUUUUCCUUUGCUAUCUUUAGCAUAAGCAGAGGAGACCCGUUCUCUAGAUGUCACCAUAGCUCUCAAAUUAUCUUUGUGUACUAAAAUGCUUUGUAAAGUUAUGAAAUUAGUAGCAAAGCGAGUAGGAGUAGAUCUAAGUAUUUCUUUCCCUCCAAUGAACUUCCUCAUCAAAUAUAGUGGAUAACAAUGAUUAUAAAUAUACUUUGUAAUACUAGAAGCAUGAUCAACAACAGAACAAACUAACUAUAGCUUACCAACAUCUUGGAGUAUGAGGUAGAUGCAAUGAGCAGCACAUAGAGACCAAAAUAUUGAAGGAAAUUCUUCCACCAACAACUUGCAAGCAACAACAUAAUUAGAAGCAUUAUCAGUCACCAUAUGCAUAAUAUUUUCAGGCCCAACAAAUAAAAAAACCUCUCCAAACAAUUUAUGUAACAACACAACAGUCUUUGAGGCCUCUGAUGCAUCUACUGUUUUUUAAAAAAUAGUUCCUUUAAGGCAAUAUACUAAGAAAUUAAUUAAAGUUCUCCUCUUUUGAUCUGUCCAUCCAUCAGUCAUUAAUGUGCAACUGGUCUUCUUCCAAGUUUCUCGAUAACUCUCAACAAAAAUCUUCACUUCAUCAACCGCCUUUGCUAGGUAAUAACCACGAAAAGCAUGGAAAUUUGAUCCUUUAUAACUAGGACCCAUGACUGUUAUACCAUCUAUAGCAUGCUGAUAGUAAACAGAGUUUGCAGUAUUGAAUGGCACACAUGCAUCAAUCAUCCAUUUUGCUAUAGCAAGAUCACAUCGUUCGAUAUCUUCUUUGUUUUUCCAACAACUUUGGAGAGACUUUUGAGCACCAUGAGUUGUUCUUGGAAUAAAAUAUGCCCCUAAUGUUAUAUUUUCUUUCUGUUUUCCACAACUUGUAGACGAUUGUUUAACAACACCAGUGAUUUUACUCUUUCCUUUAUUGGCAACCUUCGGUGGUAACAUCAGCUUCUUACCAUCAGCUUCAACAUCAUCAUCGUCAUUGUCAUUAUCAUCAUCAUCGCCUUUACAAUCAUCUUCUAAUUAUCAAAUCAUCCUCCCCUCAUGCUCUCUUUGUUUAGCGCUAUAUGGAUUGAAAUCUGCUUCCAUUUCUCUAGCUCUUCUUUUCUUUUCAACAUUCCCCUGAAGAUUCAGAAGCAUUUGAUGACGAACAUCCGGAGGACAUUUGCGGCAUUGUUCCACUUCUCCUUUAGUUCCAGCUAAAUGUUGCUUGAAUUGAUUAAUGCCUUCACCCGCAAAAACUUUAGCACAAUAUAAGCAUACUAAUUUGGUUUUCUUACAUCCCACACUAAGUUCAGGAGCUUCUCUGCAAUGACCCCAUGCCAAAUCUGUUUUUUCUCUUAUACCACUUGAUGUUAAUAUGAAAAUUGAAGGUUCAGAUGAUUGAGUAGUUGAAGGAGUGUUAUUUGAAGUGCUACCAUGUUAAGAAGCCAUUUUACAAACCUAUAGUAAAUCAAAUCAAACUAACAUGAUGAAUAAAAAGGUUGCAUGUGUUGGAAGUGGUACUUGCAGUGUGCAAUGUAUAUGAAAAAACUUGAAUUAGUAAUGUGACAACAUAUUUCAGAAGAAAGGAUGCAUUGAUCAUGUUCAACUAAUAAUUCGGAUUUAAGGAUAACAGUUUCAGAACAAUUAAUCUAUCACAUGAUGAAUAACUAGACACACCAAACAUUAUUGAUGAACAAUAAUUUACAACAGGAACUAGAAGCAAUUAUUCAACAUGGUGUUAGAUCAGGAAGUGUUACAUUCGGACCAUAUUCACUUCUCAAAUUACCAAUAUUACACACUGUGCUCAUUAUUGGGGGAAAGUGAGCCCAUGCAUAAGAGUAAUUGAAAUAGAAGCAUCUCUCAAACACUAAAACUAAACUGCUGAUGUAGGUGAUGCUUAAUAAAACUCACCUGUCAAAGUUAACCAAACCAAUCCAUGUUUAUACUAAAAAACUGGUCAACUAAGAGAAACAAACAAUCUACAUUAAACUUCUUAGUCCAUAAAAAAUACUAAAAAUAUGUAAGAUACAUUUGCAUCAAGCUAGAAAAAUAAAAGCUAAAUUAAUUAAUUGAUGGCAUAUUUAGAAGACACCCACGCAUAGAUAAACUAAGCCACUUCAGAUUCAUAAGAAAUAACAUAACAAAAUUUGAUUGCAAAUAUAACAAAAUAGCAAGCAUCACAUAAUAUGGCAGUGGCUAAUUAUAACAUUGGAUUUUACAGAAGUUAAAGAAAAUAAAUAAAAAAAACAAAAAAAAACUAUGAAUUGCUGAUUGUUAGGCAUUCAACCGAAGUUGAAAGGACUUAACUAAUGUCAGUAUUCACAGAGACACAUUUAAGCUAAGAGAAACCAUGCUCCCCACUCUACGAAGGAUUGUAAAUUUUAUUUUCACAUUUCAUAAGAUAGGGUAAUUGUUGAAAACUACUAACUCAUAAUCUAAUCACUCAUUUCUACGCAGAAUUAAAAAGUUCUAAACAUACAAACUCUACUUGUUUUAAGAGGUAAUCUUUUGAUUAUGUUGUUCGUCUGAACUGUUUAAUGAUUUUUCUCUACAAUUGUUUAGUUAGUUUCUGGGAAUUGGAAUGGAAAUCAUUAACAGAAAAAAAAGAAGAAAAAGAAUACCAUUAACAAAUUUGAAAUAGCUCUUAAAAACUGAACAUUGUCCACUCAAACUUGAAAGGAACAACAGUUAACUCAAUUUAGCAGCUGUAAUAUUGCAAAAAGAGAAAGUACCUGGCUUAUAACAGUGGAAUCUACCUUUUCUUUCGGACCACUGGUGCAGACUGCUGAGUUCUACAAGAUCAUGACAAGAUCCAGUAAGGGGCUAGAAUAUUCAAAGAAAAAAAAAGAGAGAAAUCCAGCAGAGCUACCAGUAGAAGAUACCAGCAGAAGAAUAUAAUUUGAUUGUUCAAACUGCAAAGAAAGAAAUUAGGGUAAAAAUUUAGCUUUCCUUUUGCUUUCCCAAAUUUCCCGAGACAGGUGAGUUAGUAUAUAUAUUUGGGGUCUCACCUGGGUUAGGCCGGGUCACCUGGGUCAGACCGGGUCUGGCCGGUUUUUUCCUUGCACCGGUCUUUUGUGUUGCCUGGACCGGUCCAGGCCCCGGGUCGACCCGCCGGGCCGGUCCAGGUUUAAUAACACUGCUUUGCACGUGGUUGUAAUACUGCGGUUAAAAUACUAUUUGUUUAAAAUUUAAAAAUACUUAUUUAAAAUUAAUUGUUUUAAUAUUUUUUAUAUUAUUCUGUUUUGUAGUGAGUAAAUAAUUUUUUUUUAAAAAAAAUAUUAAAAGUACAGAGAAUAUUAUAAGUGUUUUAGGUCUGGCAGCCAAGCCAGACCCGCGCCUGGGUCUUGAAACUUUGGUAAAACUGUGUUUGGUUCUGGCAACCAUGCCAAACCCGUGCCUGGAUCUGACACCAAACAUGGUUUGUCAGCCCGCGCUCAGGUCUGGCAUCAAACAUAGUUGCCAGACCCAAGUAGCUUGGGUCUGACGUGUUUUCCAGAUCCAAGCAUACAACAAAUAAACAGAGAAUAAUUAUGCACUUUAGUUGUUAGGAGAGAGAAAAGAAAGAAAAAACACAAACAAUUGAUCACCGGCGGCAAUCCAAUCAUAAUAUCUUUACAUGCACCGCACCAUGUGGAAGAGAACAUAUCUAUGCAUCUAUCUAGACGGUGAAUGACCAGAUGUGGUCACCGAGAGGCGCCUCACGUGCCUCAUUAAUGGCGUGGGCGCCACCCACUUGCUGGAGCGUGUGGAACACACUCCAGCAGCUUAAAAAAAAUAGAAAAGACAACAUGAAAAUACUAAAACGUCUCCAAUGGUCCUCUUAACUACACAUCAUACCCAAAAAUUUUUUAUUGUCGCAAUCUACUGUAAUCUGUGUCUAUAGCUACAGUGAAAACCUCGUACCAUUUAGCUUUCUUUAUAAUUUUAAAAAUUAAAAAUAUAUUAUUUUAAUAUAUAUAUAACACUUUAAAACAAACAGUAACUCUGUGCUUAGCCAUCUCGUCCCUUACUAUGAAUAAAUCUGCGCCCCCAGAGUGUACAACUGGUUUCAAACGGAUAAACCACACCAAACUAGAAUUAUACGUAUGUUUUUCCCGUGGGUAAUUAAUGGUAGCACGAAUUUUAGGGAUAAAACUUGACGACAAUUACAUAUCACGACACCAAUUUUUUUCGUUGGAUGGUUAAUAAUAUUUUUGAAUUAGACUGCACAUCUUCCUAAAUUAAAUUAUUUUUCUAGAAAAUAUCAAGAACACACCCAUUGCAUUAUUUUAGUACAUUCAGAAAAAAUAUAUUUAAAUAUGAGUUAAUUAUAUUUUUAAUGCGAGAUUUUUUAUUUUUUUAUAUUUUAAUGUAAUAUUUUUUAUUUUUUUAUUUAAGUGUGUGGACUUUUAAUUUUUUUUAAUAAAAAAUUUAUGUUAAAUUUCAUCAAAUACAUGUUGUCGUAGUCAUUACAUUGACAAGUUGAUGUAGUUGCCAAGUGUACAUAAAUAUAUUACACUUUAUUUGUUUUCUAUUUGAGUUUAUCUACUUUUCAGUGCUUCUAAUUUUAAAGCCUAACAAAUGUCCAUUUUGAAAUCUUAUAUUGGCCAUAUUAUUAAAUUUUAAAUUAAAAUAAUAAUAGUAAUAAAAAUAUAUUAAAAUUAGAAUAGAAUAACAAUAAAAGGCAUAAAAAGUAAAUUUAUAUGGACCAUGACGAGGUAAUCGAAUGAAAAAUAAAAAACAGAAAGAAAUGGAAAAAAUAUAGGUUUCCAUCGAAGCUUUUUUAUAUAUAGGAGAGUUAACCUCCCUAUCAUUUGAGGAGGUGUUCGGGUUCUUUUGUGUUAGGUUUAAUUUUAGAGUUCUUAAAAUAAUUAAGGGACAAUUGGUGUGAAAGCGCAAGAAAAAAAAAAUUAAUUGAUUAGGUUUUCUAUUAUAAUCCUUUUAUUGAUUAAGGGUAUUAUAACUAACAGGGAGUACAUUAUUAAUUACAUAAUAAUGUAGAGAAUAAAAAAAUAAAAUCCAAUAACAACUUAUGCUCUAUUUUGUUAGAAGAUUAAAACCUACAUUAACAAAGAGAGAAACACGAAGAUAAAUGAGAAGAUUUGAUUUAAAACCAAAAUCUUCGUUUUUUUUUUUAUCAAUUUAAGUUGUGUUUUCUCUAUCCUUACUUUUUAAUUGAGAUUUUGCAUGCAUAUUAAGGUUAUUGAGAAAUGUUUAGGAAUUAGGGCUUUUAUGAUAUUUGAUUUUUUAAAAUCAUUUUUAAGGAGUAAGUGUUAUACUAGUGGAGUCUUAGAUUGAUAGGAAGCCAUUGAACAUGAUUUUAUAUGUUUUUGGUAGAUUAUUUAGGUUUGGUGAACCAGUCGAUUGGUUCCUGGGUAACUGGUAGCCAUGUUUGAAACUAAAAUAUUCUGAGGAGAAUACCAGAGUUGUUCAAACCCGAUCUCUACCAUUCAGAACAAAGAGGACACCUAGGCAAACCCUCCUAAGAAAUAUAAAGCAGAUCCAAUGGUGAACGAAGGAGAAUCAAGCUGAAGGCUAUGGCUUUCCAGAACUCAAUUUUCCAGAAAUAAUGUGAUGGUGAGAUCUCUCAAAUAGCAACAAAUCACUGGUAAGUUUGUAAGGCAUAACCUAGUGUACAACAUACUAAAAACCUAAAUGAAUCCAAUGGUGGAUGGUGAAGUUAUGGCUCUGGCAGUCUGUUUCUCUCAUUGAUCUCUCUCAAACCUUUUCUCUCUUAACAAUUACUAUUUCACUUCUCAUGCUAACAUGUGUGCAUAUAUGUCAUAACAUCUUAUUGAAGUAAACAACUGCCUGAAUUGAAUCGAGCAUUUUUCAAGUAUUGAUUAUAUUUUUCAGUACCUUUAUGGAUAAAAAUAAAUAAAUAAAAGAAAUUGUAACUACAAAGUAGCCCACAAAAUGGUGCCCUUCUAUAGACAUUCAUAAUAUAAAUUAACAUGACAAAAAAAAUCAUCAUUUUCUAGUUAACUAUUCACAUGAUCAAAGACAUAGAACCAUCCAAAUUUGGCUUAAAAAUGGGCCAAAUUGCAAAAAGUAAAUCACAACUUGACCUUUCAUAUGCUUGUUACGUUGCUAGUUGUAACAUCUCUAUAAAGAUGUAAUCGAUAAAAAGUUGCACUAUAUGCACCCAUACUCAAAGAACUCAGUAUUAUAUAUACCAAAUAGGCAGUGCAUUCAUGUUAUUAAGAAACUAAUGUCUCUAAAUUGGACUAAAACUCCCUAAAUUUUGACACUUUAAUUUUAUUGCAUUGCAUUGGUGGUUGGGUGUGAUUUUCAUUUAUCAACUCCAAGUACAAGUAAUUUUUUAUAAGAAAACAUGUUAGAAAACACAUACUAAAACUCUAAGAAGAAAAAAGCAUACCUUGGCAGGGAGAGAGAGGACAGACUAAGAGAGAAUGGUAGAAGGACAACGAGAGCACUGCCAUUAAAGAAGAACAGAGAAAGUGUCAUCCACCUAAAACAAGAAAGAAAGCGUCGACACUAAAUUGGCAAAAAGAGAGAGAAAGAGGAGAGACUGAGAGAGAAUAAUGGAAAUGGUGGGAAUAAAGGAGAAAGCUAAGGAUUACCUCGAUAUAUCUGGCUUAAAUUCACUGAUGGAAAUCUUAUCGGUAUAUUUAUCAGUAUAUAUCCACGUCAUCACAUUAACUGACAGUUUUACUGAUGAAAUAUUUUAAAAACCAUUGGUAAACUGUUGAUUAAUUUGUCAGAAAUCUUCAGAAAUCUUUUUGGAAAACUCCAGAAUUCACGGAUGAUUUUUCAUUUAUUUAUAUUUCCAUUGGUAAAUUACACUAAAUUUUUUCCAAACUCUUUGUAAUUCUCUGACUAUUUUAUAUUCCAUCGGUGAAUCUGUCUGUGUUAUCCAAUUUCAUGAUUUUCUUCCCAAACACUAUGUAACUCUCUAACUAUUUUAUGUUUCGUCGGUUAUUACACUAUCAUUGAAAACUUGUCUGUUAAAAUUAAUUUUUUGAUUUAUCCCUAAGCUCUCUAUAAUUCUCCAACAAUUUAAUAUCUGUCGGUGAUGUUCGUCGGUGAUAUCACACUCACCGAUGAAAUAAAUCACUGACAAAUGUAUAUAAUAAAUUAUAAUUUAUUAGUUCUGUUACUAAAUCCAUCGGAGAUAUAGUUUUUUUUAUGAUCCAUACCCAAUCUAAUUAAACAACAACACCUGCAUUCAUCACUUAAAAAACAAGAACAACUAAUUUAAAACCAUAUUCUUCAACAAUAAACACUUGAUAUAUGUACAAAACAUAAUGCAAUAUUGAACAACAAUAAAUAUCUUAAUUCUAUUACAAUGUUUUAUAUAAAAAAUGAGUUCAAAUCCGAUGUUUAAAUUGAAUUCUCAUCAUCUUUAUUGUCAUUUUCAUGUUCAUCAUCAUCUUCUUCGUUGAACUGAAAUUUUUCGAGCCCUUCAUCUUCAUCAACAUUGGUGUUGUUACCUAUUUUUUAACACACAUAAAAAAGAAAAAAAAAUAAAAAAAAAUACAAGAGCACAUAAAUGAAGAAAGUCUAGGAGAUUGUCCAAGGAAUGGUGAUGGAGGACCAAGAUCACAAAUAAAAAACUUAGAGGACUAAAAUGUAUAAAAUUAGCAACCCAAUUAUGACUGAAAAAAAGCCCCACUAGUGAAAAUAUUUUUAUUUGGGGUAAAAAACAUAAAUUUGGAUGGGUAAGGACUCAAUGAGAAUUUUGGAAGACUUAAUUAAUUUUAUUAAAGACUUAAUUGCAAGAGAAAUCAGUUUGUAGAGGCAAUAUGAGUGUUAAUUAGAAGAAAUUGAAGUUUGGGGAUUGAAAUUAGACUUUGGAAGGUUUAAUUGGUUAAAUAAGGGGCUUAAUUAUGAAAAACAUUUAAAGUUUAGAGGCCAUUUAGGACUUAAUUAUAGAUUUCCAAGACUAAGGACCAACCUUUAAGUGGCAUGUAAUUUCAGGAUAGAAAUUGGUGAAAUCAGGAGCCAAAUUAAAAGAAAUUGAAGAUUUAGUGGUCAAUUAAGGAUGAAAUUGAGCAAAUUAAAAACCAAGGACUCGUUUGUAAAAGGUACUGAAGUUUGGGGCUGACAUUUAAAUUUGGUAGAGGUGCAAUUGCAUACAAUCAAAAGUUAGGAGACAAUCAAAUGUGCAAUUAAAAGGAAUUGGAAAAGGAGGGACCAAAUUAAAAUUGGCCGAAUCACAAAUUAAAAAACCCUAAUUUCUAGGGUUUAACCUAGAAGACGUGUCGUUCACCCACAGUUAAUCUUCUUCCUAAGCAAUUUUAGUUGGUUAAGUAGGCAUCUUCAAGUGAAUGAAUGUGGCGUUUCUGACCACCUGAGGGGCUGUAACCACCACCAUUAAACAAAGAAACACCCUCUCUAUAACCCCGUACCUAUGAAAUUAGACAUUUACACCCCAAUUCUUCCAUAGAAGUCUCCAACAUCUUGUCCCCGAUCAACUUUCCUUACAUUUUUAAAUUCUAGGCUGGUCGAGUUGACACCUUUUGAUGAAUGAAGGUGAAACUACAAGCCUUCAAAUUAAACAAGGUUAGAUCCAAAUAAAAAGUGUGCACAUCUUCUACCAACUUUAGGUGGUCUUAGGCAACGUUGAUGUCAGAGUUGCUCCAACGAGGCCUAAAAAAUAGCCAACCUAUUAAACCAUGACUAUGACACCUAUUUGGAAAAACCACUCACUUUUUCAUAUCUUCACACUCAAAACUUUCUCAAUAGGUUCUUAUCAAGGGUUGACCAAAUUUAUUUCAAAAUUAGAAGGCCAAAAAACAAUUUAUUGGUCUCAAAGUUUGGUAAAACCACCAAAACCAAAACCACCACUGCAAAACCAACCUUGUAUAGAACUUCCAUCUAUUGUUUUUUUUUUGUCUAAAACCCUUUCAUUUCGAUUAGAGCACCAAGAUUUAUCAAUCAUAAUCAUGAUCAAUCUUUGAUUGAAUCUAACAAAAAACCUUAGCCAAACCCGUUAAAUAAACCCUAAAAAUUAGAGUUGAGAGGAGGGGAAAAAAGAGAGAAAGGGAAGAGAGAAACAUUGAGAAAAUAACCUAUUUGUGAGGGUUUACGAGCCUAGCACAAGGGUUUAUUCAGUUUUGAAAGGGCACUAAGUUUAUGAAAUAAAAACUUUACAAAGAAGACAAUAGUUGUUCUAGGGUUUUGAAGGUACAUUUUCUAACCUAAAAGUGGAGUCUAUGUGGCCCGAUUUAGAAGAUUUUGGUUGUCAUUUGGUCUAAAUUUAUAUUUGCAAAUAGGGUGAUAAGGUUUUAGAAUGCUUAAAAGAGUAAGGGCUAUGUUUUUGUUUUGUUGUUAUGAUUUUGAUUCUACGGUUUAAUGUUGUUUUUAGGGUGUGUUUGAUGUUUUUAAUAUGACAAAAGCUUUCUUCUUAGGUUAGUUUUGAUAAAACAAUGUUUGUUUUGUUUUGUUUGAUUAAUGCAUUGUGAAGCAAUAUUAUUGAUCCUAGGUUUACAAGGCUUGUUCGUGAUCAAAAUAUAUCUAGGAAACUAAUUUUGAAUUCAAAUUGCAUAUAUAUAUGUAAGCUAGUUAAGUUUUGGCAGUUAUAGGAAUUGAAACUUUAUGCAUGUUAUUAAUGAUUUAAUGUUAUUUAUUAGUUUUUUGGAUUCAACUAUGCUUGGUAUUGCUAAAGUGGUUUGUGAGGACCAAAAGCAUUGUGUUUAGAGGCCUAAAAGGCCAAAUCUGGGUUUUAGCAGUACUUCAAUUUCUAAAAAAUUUCCAAAUUCUGAGUUCAUGUUUUUUGCAUGAACUUUGCCUUAGCCUCUUAUUUUUGAGUUGUUUUGGGUUAAUUCUUGGCACAUACAUAUUAACUUGUCAUCUUUAGCAAAUAAUCUAGGAUUAAAAUGCAUCCAUAACAUGUAUUCGUGUAUUUAGAUUAUAGAGUUUUUUCAACUACCCAAACACAUUUUGAUCAAAUUGUGGCUUUUGAGUGUUAAUUAAAGAAAAUGGAUGCUUGAUUCUUGAUCUACGCAUGACUAUGAACAAAACGUAUCCCUUGAUAUCAUGAAAACUUGUUUGGUAUGUGAUUUGUGUUUUCUGGGUUUCGGUUUGAAUGUUCAUUGUGCUCUUCAUGUUCUUAGUGUUUGAUUUGUUUUUGUCAAAAAAAUUAUGUUUUCGUGUUUUUUUUUUAGUUUUGAUCUGUUUUUUGUUUGAUUAUUUGUUUUUCUUUAGUUUCAGGUCAAACCAUGGUUUUCAGUUUGGUUCAGGGUUGAACCAGUAUUUUCGAGUCAAGUCGAUUGGUUUUUUUAUGUCGAGUACUAAGACUUUAUUUGGUUGGUUUCUUUUAUUGUUGAGGAAUUUUUGGCCUAAGAGGUUGUUUGACAAACACACUUUUAGGUCUAUUUUGACAGUUUUGUUUUGAAUAAAAAAGAUUUUUUUGCCAAAUAGAGCCCCAAAUAAAUUCCCUAAAAAAAUUUCAAGGACCAAUUUAAACUUAUUUUUGGAUUCCUCACAUAUUUUUCCAGCAAUUUUAUUUAUUAAGAGGGUUGUAGACUUACAUUGUAAGAUGUUGUCCUAGUAUUAAAAUACAUGCUUUUCAUCAAAAUCUCAAAAGGAUAAAAAUUAUAUUUUUAUGAGAAUAUUUCAAUAACCCCUAAAAACUUUAAUUCAUGAGAAUUAAUGGUUAAAAUUAUGGUAUAAAUGUUAGACCUAUAAGUAGGCUAGCUUUUAAAUACCAAAAGUUGACUAGAAAAUUUUCAGAAUUAUUUCAGAUAUUCACCAAUUUUAAUUGAGAGUAUUUUUUACCAUAAUAUACGAGUUGUGAAAAACUCUUUCGCCUUCCAAGAUAGGUGAACCAUGUCAGAGCACCUACAUGGAUUCUUCCCAUAAAUAUUUUUUUGGGCAUACAAGCUUAUAAUGAAUUCAAAACGCUAGAUUUAUUCAUGAGAAUAAAUUUUUAUUCUAAGACAUAAACAGACCAUCGGUUAGGAACCCAUCAACACCUUUAAGCCACAUCUAGACCAUACAAUGCAGCUUACCUCAGGUAAAGUGUGCUAGGGGUGUUAAUACUUUUCCCAGCUACAACCAGUCCCUUACCUUAGAAUUUCAUAUAAGAUCAGUCCACUCGGGUCUUCUAAUGACCCUGAACCAAACAAUUAAGUGGCGACUCCUUGAUCCCGACGCUGCAACUUCAUGCGCACAAGUGCGAUAAUCAGUAUGUCCACUAGUAUUCAAUAAAUCAUUUAACUCAUCAACAAUAACAUGAACAUAAGUGUUCUUAAUGACACAAAAAUCAUAAUUUCUUCUAACUCGGUAGAUAGAGUAACUUGAUAUGGAUCAACUAGCUCAUUUAUUUGAAAUACAUCUUCUCCCCUCACUUAAUUUAUCCUUGCCAUCGUUCACAACUUUUAGGUUUGGUUUUUAUAAUAAAUAACCAAUUAACUUUUGUAUAAUCUUUUUUAUAGGAAGGAGUGAAUGUGUAUUACACUUGUUGACAUUGUUUGGCAAACAAAAACAUCAUUAAUGUUGCUAAGUCUACCUCUUUUAUUAAUUUUAACUAAACGAUGGUGAUGAUCCACUCUAAUUCCUUUACCAGUAUCAUAUAAAUAGCCUUUGAAUAAAAAAAUUGUGUUUUGCACCCUAUGAUAUUGCAAUUUAAUCACCUCUUCUAACUUGCCAUAAUAAUCAACUUCAAAUCCAUUGGAAGUUGAUCCUUUAACACAAACCCUAUUAUUAUAGAUAUUUCUACCUUCACCAUAAUCUUCAAUACGGAAGACAUAUAUAUCUAUUGAUAAAAUACCCGUUAUAACACUUGAUCUUUCAUUUUGGACCCAAAAAAGUAAUUUUGAACUUUUAGCAUUGUCUCUCAAGUUGUAUACCUAGUUAAAGAUAACAACCAUUAACGAUUAAAAAAAUUAAAUAAAUGUAUUCUUAUUACAGUUACAAAUAAUUACAAACUUACUUGUGUUUUAUACCAUAUUAUGAAUUGUUCAUCUUAUAUUUGAAAAAUUUGAGCUUCAAUAAGAUUUGGAUUUUGAAAUUAUAAGAAUUGACGAUGUUGUCUAUAAGAAAGUUACUAGGAGUUUAGCCUAAAUGAGAAUACAAGAGAAAAUGAUUCAAGAUUGUAAAAUUGUGAAUUUGACUUACUGAAAAAAAUGUCUCAGUUCAUGACAGUUAAAUAGCACACAAUUACGUGUUUAUCUAAAUUUGAUAUUUGUCAAAUAUCUUCUUGAAACUAUAUUCUUUGACAAUGGUUGUUCAGAAUGAGAAAAUAUUGAAACAUUUCCACCAGAAGACAUUUCACCAACAUCAUCAUGUCUUGGAACACAGUUGAUUCUUGUUUGCAUAUGAGGCUCUAAAUAAUAUGAGAUAAUUAUUGAAAUCUCUUUAACAAUAUAAGUCUCACACAUAUACGCCUUAACAUGCGCCUUGUUUUUAACCUUUUUUUAUUGUUGAACAAGUACCUACAUGGAGGUAAACAUAAGCAUAUAUUCAUUGAAUGACCAAAAGUUAAAAAAAAACACAUUACACACUUAGAAUGAAUGUUAUUCCUAACCUCUAAAAAAUAUACAUCCAUUUGUAUUACACAAGCCUUCUAAUUUUUGUUUUAUACGCUAAGUGUAUAGGCAGAUGCUCUAUUAGAUCGAAGACCGAGAGAGGGAAAAUCAUCUCAAAUUUACAUAUUGUCUCAAGAAUGUUCCUUUCAAGUUGUUCCAUAUGUUGUGAACACAAAUUGUUUGAGAAAACAUUUCUUAAAAAAUAACUAAUCUCUGUGAGUGCAUUUCAUAUCCUUUCUGACAAUAAAUUCCUAUAUGCAAUUGAAAUGAGUGUUUGCAUAAACAUAUGACAGUCAUAAUUCUUCAUUCCAUACAAUCUGCAUUCCUUCAAAUUCAUCAAUCUAGCUAUGUUCGAAGCCUAUCCAUAAGGAAAUUGCAUACUCUUAAACCAUUCGUAAACAAAAAAUUAUGAUUUUUUUUAUCUGAGGUAUAAAUGGAUUUGAGCUUUACGAUACGUACUUAAUCACUAAGUAACUCUAUAUUAUGACACUCACAAAAAAAAAAUUUAUAUUUGUGCUGCUUUUAUGUUAUCCUUUGAUGUUCAUAACUGUGUUAAAAAUCUUUUCAAACACAUAAACUCCCAAAAAACAUUUCACUCCACCCAAUCAUGGGGCACACCAAAACUAGAAAACUUAUGUUUACUGAAUUGAAAAUCAAAUACAAUGUUCUUAUACCGCGAUAUUACAUCAUAUAAUUCUUUACACAAUAGUACAAGCAAUAUAACAUCUUUUUUAGCUUUAUCUUUCAAAAAGUCGUUUCUAUUUUUUCUGUAUCAAUAAUGAUUUGACAAGAACCUUUGGCAAAAAAAAAAAAAGUUUUACCACCAUUUGUUAAGGUGAAUGCUUUAUUGUUUUCCAUAUAAUAUAGAAAAGCUAAUCUUCCAUGUAUACUCCAUCAUAAAACCAUCUCAUACACAUGAAACUUAUUUAUAGUUCACAUCAAAGCUGUCUUUAUUUGAAAAUUUUGUUUCCUUAAGACAUUACAUGUCAAAACCCCGAAUGACUAUAAUUUUCAACCCAUCAAUCAACGGUUAAAGAUAAAUAUCUACAUUCCUACCUGGACUAUAAGGACUGGAUAUUAUUGUAGAUAAGAACAUGAAUUCUUGCCUCAUAUAUAACCUCGGGGGCAAGUUGCAAACUGUUAGUAUAAUUAAACAACAAGAAUAGGGUGCAAUAAAUGACCUAAAUGGAUUAAACUUAUUUGUACACAAACUAAGAUGCACGUUGCGUGGUUUCAUUGAAAACCGAAGAUGCAAUUGUUAAAUUGCUUUCAAGCUUCUCCAUCGAAAAAAUACACAAUUACUCCAUCCUUCGCAUCAUAUGCUCAACUGUUUUUGAAGACAUAGAUAAUCUUUGUAGCCUAGUAGUGAUAGGAAAAUAUCUUAGUUUUUUGUAUGCCAUAAGUGUCAUUCACCUACCUAUAUUGGGUUUAUACCGAGCAUACCUACAUGUUUUACACUCAGUUAAAUUUACAUCUUCAUCAUAAUACAACAUGCAAAAAGUUGGGCACAUAUCAAUUUUUUGAUAUCUCAGGCCAAAGAGUUUCAUCAUAAAUUUGCAGCAUAAAAGUUCUUUUUCAACUUAUUCUUUUCAAGUAAAAUAUUUUUUGCCCAUAUGAUUAUGCUAUCAUAACCGGCUUCACUUAUACCAUAAUCUAACUUUAUGAAAAAUACUCAGGUAAUGAUCGAUAAUUUAUUAUAAUUUGUGUACCCAUUCCAUAAUGGUUCAUUAGAAUCUUUUAAAAGAUAAAAAAAAAAACCUAGUUGCAUCUACAUUUGGUUCUUCAUUUACACAUGAACCUUUACCUGAAUAACAAUAAUUUAUUCUCAUUCCAUCCGUCAUCAUAUUCCUAUAAUAAUUACUAUUAUCAUCGACUUCAUGUAUAUUUCCAGAACUAAAUAUUGAGCCAACAAUCCUUUCUAACAUGGUCUCUGUGUGCAAAUCAACACAAGUAUUUUUCAACGAACCCUUUUUUUAGGAAAUGCAUCAUCACAACAUCUGAUUUUUUUGUUUUUACACUUCACAUAUAAACAUCUAAUUUUGCAUCCACUAAUAUUCUUUGGAUUUGAAAGUGUAAAAUUAAUAAAACUCUUAACCCCUCUAUAAUAAUCUUCCCUAAACACCCCUUGAGGUAAAUCUAGAUACAUUCACAAAUGAUCAUUCAUUACUUAGAAAACCUAUAUAGAUUAAUGAUGAUGACAUUUAUUAAUAAUGUAACAAUAAAUUCAAAAUAUAACUUUGGUAAUUAAAAAUUAAUUCACAAUCUAAUAAUUAAUUAUUAUUUUUGUACAAAAAAUAUAAUGAUGCGUAAAAAUAUCAACUAAAUAAAUCCAAUUAAUUGCAAGUAAUCAAUAACCCAACUAGUUAUUUAUCAUUUGUUCAAUUCAAACUUAUUCAAUCUAAAUUAAUAUAAUUUAAUUAUUUUCAAUUCCAUAAAAUAUCAAUUUCUCUAAAAUUUUCAACUUAACAAUAAAAUUGACAAAAUAUGAUUGUUACUAAUUAAAUAACUCAUAAUUUCUUUUAGUAUAACACACCUAAGUUAUAAAAUCACAAUCAAUUAUAUCAAAUUACAAACAAAUUCAAAUUUGCCCAAAUCACAAACAAACCCUAAAUAGAAAUCAAACUCUAAUUCUCUAUGAAAAGGUUGUAAAACACUAAAAUACACAAGCAAACUACACUACAAAUACUAAAAAACAAUGAUACAUUAACUUAAAAUAUCAAUAAGUAGGUUUUCUUACUUGGUGUAGAGAGUAUUUAGAGAAAAUUGUAUUAAGACAAUGAUGUAGACACUAUGAAAUGUUGGGUGGUUGAAAUUUGUAAUGAUGAGACUUAGAUUUGUACCAAAAUAGAAGGGAGAGGUUAUUGUUUUGAUUUGCAGAAACAGAAUAAAAAGAAGGGGAUAAUGAGGAUGUUGCCGAUUAUAACACUUUUAGAUCUGCCGAUGAACUUGUCGAUAAAAUAUAAUGAUGAAAUAUACUGUCGGUAAUUCUAUCGGUUAUUGAUGACAUGUCAUUUUGAAGAUGGAUUCAACUAUAGAAAAUCUUUUUAUUUUUUUAAUUAUUUAGUCUAUUUGUAUUUACUGACAAAAAUAAUUUUGUCGUGAUUAUAAUCAGGAAUUUCCAUCGCUAUAAUCAUUAGAAGUACCGAUGAAAAAUAUUUUGUUAAUAAUUUCAAUGGUACUAUAUAAUUUUUUGGUGGUGAUAGUUAUAGUUUACCAAGCUUCACACAUAUGCUGAAACUUGGGAAAAUUAAAGAGCUCUGAAAAUUGUUGUUUACAGUUUAUAAAUUUUAUUGCUUAUGUGAUUUAUGGGUAGAAGUUAAUUGUAAUUUUUUAGUUAACAAAUAAUUAAGAUUUAUAUAUAAUAAGGAAAAAAUGUUUUUUAGGAAAAUCUAAAAGUUUUUUUUUUUUAGAACUUCUUUUUAUCGUGAUCUUUUUACUUUUCUCCUAGAUUAUGCAGACCUAUGUUCAUAAAAAUAGAUUAUCAACAAGGUAUGCACUAAGCUAUAAAAGACUUUUAUUAUACUUAAUAGCUUCUUUGAAAGUGUGGUUAUGGUUGUUUUUCACUUGAAAAUAUACUAAAAUAAUAUUUUUUUUAUUUUUAAAAAAUUAUUUUUGACAUCAGCGUAUCAAAAUGAUCUAAAAAUAUCAAAAAAUAUUAAUUUGAAGCAAAUAAAAAAAAUUUAAAUUUUUUAAAAAAACAGGACAAUGAUAUUUUUUUUUUAUUUCACCUAUAUAAACGACAGCAUCUAAAUGCAAUAAUAUUUGUAAAAAAUUCAAUGAGAAACAUUAUAGGUGUAGAAACACCGAAGGUGCGAAAGAGACAAUAAUGGAUAAUCUGCUAAUAUUUCUGCAAAAAAAAUAAUAAUAAAAAAAAACACGAAAUUGAAGCAGUAAAACUAUAUAUUGUGAUAAUCUCCAUCCUUAUAUGAUAAAGGUUCAGAAAAAAUGCGCUAUGUGUUGCCUUAAGGAGACUUGAUUCGACUAUCUUAGUUAACACUGAAGGCAGGAGGCUCCCUUGAUUAGACGUUCAACUUUAAACGCUUGGCCCACAAUGCCUCAAGGGCAACAUCCACAGCAUCUUGAAACCCUAGAUCAGUCGCAUUAGGGUGUGCAUAGGUGAGUCUCGGCAUCAAAUUUAUUACUGCGCUUCUCAUUCUCUCCACCUGCUCUCUCUCAAUCUUGAAAAGCUCUUCCUCAAUGCUAACUACCCUUUUGCUUCCAUUUCCCGUCUUCAAAGCAUUUUCAUCUAUGUAAACUGAAUACUCUCUCGCAUCCCCAGCUGGAAAAAACCACUCAUACUGAGUAUACACAGUGUGAGGUGAGAAAAACACAGGUAUGCAACCUGCCAACACUGAGUCAAAAGUUGACCUCCGAGUGAACGAGUCACCGGGAGCUUGCAAGCAAAACUGGGACUGAGACAUCACCUUAAGUACCUCAAUUGGGUAAUGGCAUUUACUGGGUCCUUUCCCACAUUUUAGAAGCUUGCAUCGACCUGACUCGCUGCACUGCCUUAUUAACUCGUCCCUUACAGCAGCUUUCUCAACUCCUCUACGUGGCCCCCCUAUAAAGGAGAAGAGGUGGGGCCUACUUGAUUGUCUCAUCUUGUUCUGCCACGUCAUCAUCUCGUGUGACGUGUACGGGUGGAAAUAGGAAGGGUAAGGGAUGCCAUGUUGGUUGUGGACUCGAUCCCAAGGGUUUCGCUCUACAGUCAGCACCGACAUGUUUUGCACGUCUGGCAGAUUUAGGAGAGAGUUUCCAAAGUUGUUAUUUCUUCUCAAGAAAUCCCAUGCGGUCCUUCCUAGGACUAAGAAAUGGUCCUUACCGUGAUGCCUCUCCCACCAUGGUUUUGAUCGGAGAUAAUCUGCUAAUCGGACGGCUAGUUCAUCGCGUGCCGUGAGAUUUGCAUCGUGGAACUUGCUUGAGGCAUCGAGUCCACCAUAGAAUGGCACGUAGAAUAGCUUGGCAUUUAUAGGAUCCAAAACACGACAUGGAUGGUUCUCCAUACGAGCGUGAAAAAUCAUCUCCGCAAUGAACUGGUGGGUGGCAAACCAUGUGGUGGCGACGGCGGACUCUGCCAUGUAGGAGAGUGGUUGGCCUAAUCCGCGAUUUGCCACAUGAGGACACAUGUCAGUGUAAGGAUUUAGAUGGCUGCAAUCUUUAAGUAAACCCUUGUUGAACUCAGCGGGCAUGUCAUAUAAAUACACUGACAUUCCUCCUUCACACUUGGAUAUCGCAGAUGAUUUCGAUGUUGUCUUGGGCGCCUUUUCAUCUACGUUUAGUUUCUCGAUGUUGUUUUCGCUCGUGGAGGAGGACAAGAGAAAACAUCUUAGAAUAACAAACCAAACAGAAAGCAAGAAACAGAGUAGUAGAGCGUGUCUCAACUGUGGUUUAAGAAACGAGUAAUGUAUUUCGUUGGUUUUAGAGUACUUCCCUUUCUCCGUCCAUGGAGAUGCAGACGAUAUAGAUUUUUUCUUGACAACCAUUGCUGUAGAUGUCUCCGACCAUACAAAGCGAAAGGGAAGGAGAAGGAUUGGAAGGGUGGGGAGUGGAAGCCUUUCUGUUUCAAACAGGACAGAAAAAGGGGAUGAAACCUCUAAAAAUGGUGGCCUGAGUGACAGAACAAGUCAAAGACUGGUGAGCUCCAUGGAGUUUGGUGAGGACAAAAUUUCCAUUAAUGAAAGAAGGAAAAAGUUGUCGUCCCCCCGAAAAGAAAAGGAAAUAAAGAUGGAAAACAUAUUAACACUGGGACAAUUUAUGGUAGACGAAUCGGAAUAGGACAAGUUUCCAUAUAUAUUCAUGAGCAAUCUCCAUUGACGUGCCCUAAUCUCAUCAAAUAUAUAUCCAAAAACAAGGAUUUACUAUUUACUCGGAGUUUAUCUACCAUAAUUUGGAUUAGAAAAUCGAGUAGAAUGGUUGAAUUCUCCCGGUAAUCAAUGCUAUAUAUAAUCAAUACGUGCACGUCAUCACUCAAAUUAAUUAUGCGGUGGUAUACACGUUACUCAAAUUAAUUAUGCGGCGGGCCCUGAAAAAAUCAAAAUUCUUCUGAUAUUCAUUUUUCUGUGGUUGGUAACUUUCAAUCAUUGACCAAACAAACAUGUACCUUUCAAGAUUGAAGAUCAUUCUUCAAUAUUGAAAUAAUCAGCGAAGAGCACUUCCAUUCUAGAGCUCUGCUGGCCCUCUGAUGAUGAUAUCUUAGGUUUCCUGCAAGUCAUUUUCCCAGCAAUGCUAAAACGGAUUCACAAGUCCAUUUCCAACACCCUGUCUGUUGUCCCACUGCAGCAGACCCUCCCAUCUUCAUAUGAUUGCUUCCAAUUAAAAUAUGAACCGACGGGCACUGAAAUUUCUCUACUUCAAAUAAUUAGUUUCAUGACAUUCUUUUUUUAAAAAAAAAGAUAUAUACCCUAUUUCAAAGUGUUUUUUUAUAUAAAAAAAAUCAAAGUAAAUAUUAAAAAGUUUAUACAAGUAUCUAAUUAAAUAAAUCAAUAACUUUCCUUAUAAAUAAAUAUAAAAAAAGUCAUUAACAAUAACUAUAAAAAAAUUUUAAAAAUUAAGAAAUGAACUUAGAUCAAGAUAUUUAAUCCUAUAAAACAAGAUAUUUGCUUAUUUAUGUUUGUUGAAUUUGAUUAUUAAAAUCAAUAAAAGAUAAUAGAAAUAGAAACACAUAUGGAACUAAUUGAGAAAAAUAAGAUGAAAAAAUAUUACGCAAAGCCGGACAUGUUAUAAAUAUUAUUUAAAAACAAAUAUUUUUUAUUUUUAAAAAUAAAAUUCAUCUAUAAGAAACAAAAAAAAUUAUAGAUGAAUCAUAAUAAUAUCUUCAAAAAUUAAACACAAACAAUUUUUUUAAGAAAGAUUUUUUCUUCGUAAACAUUGUAAAAGAUUGCCCAACAAGAGAGGGCAUCUAUUGUUACCCAUUUUUAACCCCACAAAAAAAUAUAGAAAAAAAAUCCAAAAAAUUCAAGAGGAUGCACUUGAAAAAAGCCUAAAAAAUUUUACAAGUUGGUGCUGAAAGACCAAAAUAACAAAUGAAAAAGUUGGAGGACUAGAAUGUACAAGAUUGACAAAUUAGCAACCCAAUUCUGAUUGAUAAAAGGUCCUAUUGGUGAUAAUAUUUUAUUUGGGGUAAAGAAAUACUAAUUUGAAUUAGUAAGGAUUCAAUAAGGAUUUUGAAAGGCUUAAUUAAUUUUAUCGAGAACUUAAUUGCAAGGAAAAUAAGUUUUUUGGAGUCAAUUUGAGUGUUAAUAAAAAAAAAUUGAAGUUUAGAAACUGAAAUUAAACUUUAAAUUGGUCAGAUAUAUGAAAACAUUAAAGUUUGAUUGCCAUUUAGAGUACUGCCAUCGUUUUUCCAACAGCUCCCAAUGUCCAUCAGGUAGAACUGGCUUCCUGGUCCACCUCCUUGUGUAAUGUUUAGCUUGAAUUUUACUUUAAAGUUUUGUGACUUUGGCACCUGUAUGAAUAUAUGAAAUAUUUUGAAAGUAUGAUACAUUGAUUAAUCAUUGGAUUUUGACAAGAAUGAUGUUAAAAUCUGUGUACUGUGUACUUAUCUAAGAAUUUGAAUCUGCAAUUUUCAAUUGAAAAGUCCAAAAUUCAGAAGAACGAGUAUGAGAGGAGAACGAAGGAAAAAAACAUAACUUACUAUUUUUGACAUGCCCCUUGUUUGGUAGUGAUAACCACCGGAGAAUCCUUUGGUGGCAUCCGAUCUUAGGUAUAGCAUCAACCAUGGAUACUUUGAGGAUGUUUUCAAGUAGAAAUGAAAGACCCAGCUUCCUUUCCCUAACUCCUUUUGCCAAGUGACAUUGAAAUAAGAGGUGCUGUUGUCGACAACUCCACUCUUGACAUUAGCAUCCAAGGUAUUGUUUCCAUGCACACCGGUAUAAUUAUGGUACAUCUUGGGCAUGUUCAUCCACCCUUCUCCAAAGCAUGGAAAACGAGAUUCCGGUGCAAAGGGCUCUGAUUUCUUGCCAUUUUCGGGGCAUCUAGCAGCUAAAGUGUCCAUGUUACCACUCUUGAGCAUGAUCAUCCAGAAUUGCCAUGGUUUCGGAUAGUCCUUUACUUGGCAUUUGUUACCCAAGUACAGCUGCUUCUUAGGCGCAUACCUGUCAUAACUUCUGGCCUUUAUUCUUCCGUAGGUAUCAUUCAAUAAGCCCAGCCUGUUCUCAUCCUCACUCACCUUGUGAAUUAAGUUGACUUCAUCAAGAAUCAUGGAAAGAAGAAAGGAAAAGAGCUUAGCAACCAUAUACUAACAAAAAAGUCCUAUCACAGAAAACAUAAUCCUAUGAUUUCAAAGAUCUUGUUGUUUCUUCGGGCAUCAAAUGCAAAAAGUCUGUCAAAUGAGUUACAAUUUAAAACAUAUUUUUAUCUCACGUUAUUAGUCUUUCUUUAGUUAAUUGGUAACAUGCAGAAACAUGGAAUUGAGGGGCCUCCAAACUUUUUGUUAGUAUUGGUCAUUCAAGGGAAAAAGAAAUAAAUAAAUAAAAAAACUCGGAAUGAUCUUCCAUAGUCGGCACUCCUUUCCUAAACAGAAAUAUGCACUGACCUAGAUGCAUGAAGCCCAAAGAGCAUGGUGAAAUUCCAACGAGUAAUGUGAUAAAAACACGUGGACUAAGUAAUUAACAGAUACUAUUAGUAGAAUUACAUUGUUAAUUAGGAUUAAUAGGGUUUGUUCGGCCAUGAUUACAAGCUUAAGUAAAAUAGUUUUUGCAGAGAAAAGGUUUUAAGAAAAAUAUUGAUAUUAAUCAUGGAAAGCUUCUCUUAUAAUGAAUCCGUAACUUUGGCUUGAAUCUGUGAAAGGGUUAAAAAAAAAAAACAAUCCACUAGUUCCUCGCGUUCUUUUCUUGCGAAAUUGUAUUCAUAAUAAGUAACAGCGCAAAGAUGUAGAGGAACUAAACAUUUCUCACCAGAUGAUGUAGAAUGGUCAACAUCAAAGCAAUCUGCCAUUCUUGGACUUCCCAUGUUGACAGCUUCUUCUCCAACCUCAUUGCACUGAUUCCAUGCCUCAAUUGCCACCCUAAGGCCAUCCCUUCGCAUCCCUGGAUCACCAACAGCCGAUAUAAAAUCAUCAUUGCAAGCCAUAACUACAGAAGUGAAACAAGCAAGAAAAAGGAGUUGAAAAAAUCUCAAUGUGUCCAUUGUCAUCUCUGUAAAGUUGUGCAAAAGAAAGUGCUCCUUGAUUAUUCGAGGGCAAUACAAUUUGUAUAUGUGAGUACUUUAGCCUUUCUGUUCUAUUCAUCAUUGAAUUCUAGCUGAAGAGAAAAUCAGGUAAUGCAUCACGUAUCUAGAAGGAUAAUGGUAAUAUAAAUCUGGGUAAGGAUGAUAGUAAGUUGAGUUCUUGUAUAACUUCACCAGGUGAAAGCUAUGCUUCCUAGAUCAAGCAGUAUCCUACGGCAGUGGAACAUCGUUGGUUUGUUUGGACUCGGCAACUGGGUUGGCUAAGACAAACGUAAAUGCCAAACUUAUCCAUUUCUAAAUGGUAGCUCAUGUCAUAGUAGUUAUUGUGUUGUAUUUCUCUUUCUCAGAUCAAUCCCGCUAGUCUCCGAUUAGAUUGGGUUUGAAGCUUAGUUGAACCUUUUACUCUUCUCCAGAGCCAUUCGAAAGCAUCGUGAAUGCAUCAAUGAUCCCAUAUAUAUGUAUGCCGAGUACAUGGGACUAGGAGCCAAAAAAUUCAAGGAUUUCAUCUGCCAAUCAAUACCAGAAAAGUUCCCCUCUCAAUCUGUAAAUUGCCUGACAACACAUCCUCAACAGCAAACAUAUAUAUAUAUAUAUAUAUGUUUUCCCUUUUAAACAAGCUAUCAAAUAAAGGCAUUCUGAAAACUUAUCCCAUCUUGCACUAAAAAUUCAAGAAGUUCAGCACAUAAAAUUGCAAAUAAACGCAUCAUCUGCCUUCGUAUUCCAAAUUCUAUCAUAUUGUUCGUAUAACAGUGUUGGUCCGAUUCCAUAACAGCACAUUUCGUCACCCCAUUCAACAUAAUGUUUCAUAUAUCUGUUUUUACAUAAAGUAUUGCAAGUCUUACAGAAAUUUUCUGAACUAAUAGUUAUAGCUCAUUUAUUUCUAACAACUUUCAAAGCACCUCUUAUAUAACAAAUUUUACAUAUUCAUAGGACAGAAUUCGGCCAAAUUUUAGGCGUGACCAUCUUGUAUUCUCAAUGUAUCAAGAUAAGAUUUUCCAACAAGCUCACGAGAAAACAGGCCCUUGAAGUACUCUUUAACUGUAACUUCUUUAAACAAUGCUGGUGUUUGUUCGGUUACCAAG